AUUGAACGCUGGCGGCAUGCCUUACACAUGCAAGUCGAACGGUAACAGGUCUUCGGAUGCUGACGAGUGGCGAACGGGUGAGUAAUACAUCGGAACACGCCCGAUCGUGGGGGAUAACGAAGCGAAAGCUUUGCUAAUACCGCAUAAGAUCUACGGAUGAAAGCAGGGGACCGCAAGGCCUUGCGCGAACGGAGCGGCCGAUGGCAGAUUAGGUAGUUGGUGGGAUAAAAGCUUACCAAGCCGACGAUCUGUAGCUGGUCUGAGAGGACGACCAGCCACACUGGGACUGAGACACGGCCCAGACUCCUACGGGAGGCAGCAGUGGGGAAUUUUGGACAAUGGGCGAAAGCCUGAUCCAGCCAUGCCGCGUGCAGGAUGAAGGCCUUCGGGUUGUAAACUGCUUUUGUACGGAACGAAAAGACUCUGGUUAAUACCUGGGGUCCAUGACGGUACCGUAAGAAUAAGCACCGGCUAACUACGUGCCAGCAGCCGCCGUAA
RNAcentral lists this ribosomal RNA (498 nucleotides) under uncultured bacterium. Its description in RNAcentral is "partial 16S ribosomal RNA". It matches the Rfam family "Bacterial small subunit ribosomal RNA", at positions 30 to 523 of the family's 1533-position model. The record is from RNAcentral.